AGAGUUUGAUCCUGGCUCAGGAUGAACGCUGGCGGCGUGCUUAACACAUGCAAGUCGAACGAUCCUUCGGGAUAGUGGCGGACGGGUGAGUAACGCGCGGGAGUCUGCCCUCAGGAGGGGGAUAACGGCUGGAAACGGCCGCUAAUACCCCAUAUGCCGAGAGGUGAAAUGAAUUUCGCCUGAGGAUGAGCCCGCGUCUGAUUAGCUAGUUGGUGGGGUAAUGGCCUACCAAGGCAACGAUCAGUAGCUGGUCUGAGAGGAUGAUCAGCCACACUGGGACUGAGACACGGCCCAGACUCCUACGGGAGGCAGCAGUGGGGAAUUUUCCGCAAUGGGCGAAAGCCUGACGGAGCAACGCCGCGUGAGGGAUGAAGGCCUCUGGGCUGUAAACCUCUUUUCUCAAGGAAGAAGACCUGACGGUACUUGAGGAAUAAGCCACGGCUAAUUCCGUGCCAGCAGCCGCGGUAAUACGGGAGUGGCAAGCGUUAUCCGGAAUUAUUGGGCGUAAAGCGUCCGCAGGCGGCCUUGUAAGUCUGUUGUUAAAGCGUGGAGCUCAACUCCAUUUAAGCAAUGGAAACUACAAGGCUGGAGUGUGGUAGGGGCAGAGGGAAUUCCCGGUGUAGCGGUGAAAUGCGUAGAUAUCGGGAAGAACACCAGUGGCGAAGGCGCUCUGCUGGGCCAUAACUGACGCUCAUGGACGAAAGCCAGGGGAGCGAAAGGGAUUAGAUACCCCUGUAGUCCUGGCCGUAAACGAUGAACACUAGGUGUCGGGGGAAUCGACCCCCUCGGUGUCGUAGCCAACGCGUUAAGUGUUCCGCCUGGGGAGUACGCACGCAAGUGUGAAACUCAAAGGAAUUGACGGGGGCCCGCACAAGCGGUGGAGUAUGUGGUUUAAUUCGAUGCAACGCGAAGAACCUUACCAGGGUUUGACAUCCUGCGAACCCCUGAGAAAUCGGGGGGUGCCUUCGGGAGCGCAGAGACAGGUGGUGCAUGGCUGUCGUCAGCUCGUGUCGUGAGAUGUUGGGUUAAGUCCCGCAACGAGCGCAACCCACGUCUUUAGUUGCCAGCAUUCAGUUGGGCACUCUAGAGAGACCGCCGGUGAUAAACCGGAGGAAGGUGUGGAUGACGUCAAGUCAUCAUGCCCCUUACAUCCUGGGCUACACACGUACUACAAUGCUACGGACAGAGGGCAGCAAGCUCGCGAGAGUUAGCAAAUCCCAUAAACCGUGGCUCAGUUCAGAUCGUAGGCUGCAACUCGCCUACGUGAAGGAGGAAUCGCUAGUAAUCGCAGGUCAGCAUACUGCGGUGAAUACGUUCCCGGGCCUUGUACACACCGCCCGUCACACCAUGGAAGUUGGCCAUGCCCGAAGUCGUUACUCCAACCCUUGUGGAGGAGGACGCCGAAGGUGGGGCUGAUGACUG
RNAcentral lists this ribosomal RNA (1422 nucleotides) under metagenome. RNAcentral's name for it is "bacterial SSU rRNA". It matches the Rfam family "Bacterial small subunit ribosomal RNA". The record is from RNAcentral.